RNAcentral lists this transfer RNA (66 nucleotides) under Toxeutes macleayi. RNAcentral's name for it is "tRNA-His". The record is from RNAcentral. Lineage: Eukaryota; Metazoa; Arthropoda; Insecta; Coleoptera; Cerambycidae.
ACCUAAAUAGUUUAAUUAAAAAUAUUAGUUUGUGGGACUGAAGUUAUAACAAAGUUAUUUUGGGUA